Long non-coding RNA from Bos taurus (domestic cattle), 772 nucleotides. The record is from Ensembl. NCBI's taxonomy places the organism in Eukaryota, Metazoa, Chordata, Mammalia, Artiodactyla, Bovidae.
ACAUUAGAAGAAAAUAGUCCCUACCGUCUAGAAAGUUUUCAGGGGAAAAGAGGGCGUUUGACGUGUGGGUGGGUGUGCGGAAAGCGCCAGCACGAGCAGCGGGAGCGGCGAACGCCGGGGGCUGGGCUGCAGAAGAAUGUAAAUUACAUUUGGAAAGAUCAGGCUCGAAGGCUCUCAUUUACCCUCACCAGAUACUUAGAAUAAGAUUUCGGUGCGAUAGUAAUUUUGCCAAUGGAGGCCGACUCCCUAAAACAUCACCCUGCCAACAGUGAAGCCGACAUUGUUAACGAUAUGAACCAACACUGAAAGCCUUCAUCAGUAAUACAUACCUGCAGUCAGAAUUUGAAUGUGACCUGGCCAAAUGUAUUUACUCAUUCAAUGCUUAUUUAAAUAAGUGGUAGGCCUUGGAGAUACCUCAGUUCUUAUAUUCUUUCAUAUUGCUGUUCAGUAGGAACAUAAGCCUCCAAAAUUGUCUGCCUGCAUUCACCCAUGGCCCUCCCUGCAGCUACAGUGGUCUUUUAAAAAUGACCAUGUGGGACUUUCCUGGUGGUCCAGUGGCUAAGAAUCUGACCGCCAAUGCAGGAGACAUGUGUUCGAUCCCUGGUCCGGGAAGAUACCACGUGCUGCAGAGCGACUAAGCCCAUGCACUGCAACUGUUGAAGCCUGCUCGCCUACAGCCUGUGCUCUGCAAUGAAGAGUAGCUCCUGCUCACAGCUAGAGAAAGCCUAUGCACAGCAGGAAAGACCCAGCGUGGGCAAAAAUAAAUAAGUAC